Molecule: transfer RNA, 47 nt
Filed under: Hemiselmis rufescens
Lineage: Eukaryota; Cryptophyceae; Cryptomonadales; Hemiselmidaceae
Description: partial tRNA
Source: RNAcentral
UCAUGUUACUGUAAUCAAUCAACUCAAAAACGGAAAAACUCGAAUAC